This 211-nucleotide unclassified non-coding RNA is filed under the name plant metagenome. Its description in RNAcentral is "partial contains small subunit ribosomal RNA, internal transcribed spacer 1, and 5.8S ribosomal RNA". The record is from RNAcentral.
UUUCCGUAGGUGAACCUGCGGAAGGAUCAUUCAUAAUAAAGCGUUUUAUGGCACUUUUUAAAAAUCCAUAUCCACCUUGUGUGCAAUGUUAGAUCUCGUCAAUCUUGGCGAGAUUUUUAUACAUCAACUCAUUCUUUAACUAAUUUGUCUGAAAAAUAUUAUGAAUACUUAAUUCAAAAUACAACUUUCAACAACGGAUCUCUUGGCUCUC